GCUAAUUAUCCGGGAUUAAGAAUUGACACGGAGCGACAUGGUCAUUAACCACAUAUUUGCACAGCUUAUUCAUGUUAGUUGGGCUGCUCCAUCUCACUGAGUCUAAUUGGACACGCCCACAAUGCUGCACAACACAUUUACAUCGACCUGGCUGUCAGCAGCCAAUAAAGGACUACAGGAUGUGUUUGGUUCCAAAGGGACUUGGCUCUCGGCAGAAGCUUGUUUGCAGGCACACUGGGUGUCUUGGCUUUCUGGCACUGUGGACUACAGCUUAACUCAGAGCAUACAUUCAAUCAUUUCUCAAACAUUUGUUAGCUCAAGCACUGUACCAGGCACAGCACUGGCCCUAGCAGGGUCUACAAAGAUGAACCAGGCACCAUUUCUGCCACCUCGAGGAGGUUUACCUUCUGCCCUCCAUGAUGUGACCCUGUCUAGCAGGCCCCCUCCUGCCCACCUGGGGCAUGUGUGCCAUCUACCAGCCCACUCCACAUUCUCUGCGCAGGUCUCUGUGCUCUUCCUUCAGCCUGGAAUUCUUCUGUCCACCUGGCUGAAGGAGUAGCACAGAGAUCAGCAAGGAGAAUGGUCUAGUGCGUGGCACACAUAGUACUGAUGGGAAGGGUGUGGCCUGGCAGGCAGGGUCACAUCAUGGAGAUCUAUGAGUGUUCUGUUAGGGUCUGGAAGUUUCUCCUCAGGGCAUGAGGAACCAUGGAAGAGAUUUUGUUUUUUCAGUGUGUAUGCAUAGGUGGAUGUGUUUUAGUAAACUUUUUAUUGAAAUGUAACAUAUGUAUAGAAAAGUACAAAAUUUUUCACAAACUGACCGCAUCUACGUAAUAGCACUCAGAUUAAAACAAUAACAAAUUAUUACUAAAACUCCAGAGAUCCACUCUGGCCUCUUUCAGGAACUACUUACAUACAAGAAAAAUAACCAUCCUAACAUCAUAAACUAGUUUUCACUAUUUUCUUGUGUGUGGCUUUUUUCACUCCACAUAUGUUUGCAAGACUCCCCCAUGUUGUUAGACAUAAAUGCACUUUGUUCUUGCUCAUUGCUGGUUGAUAUCCCAUUGUAUGGAUGCACUGCAAUUGUUGAUGAGCUUUGUGCAGUUUCCAGUUUGGGGCUGUAAACCUUCCUGCACAUGCCUUUACGUGCUCCUCUGGGGGUAAAUCUGUUGCAUGCAUAUCUAGGAGUGGAAUUGCUGGGUUGUGGGCUAUGCAUAUAUCUACUUGAGUAGAUACUUCUAGUUUCCCAAAGUUGUUCUACCCAUGUACACGCCCACCAGGGAUGCACAGGAGUUCUCAUUGCUCUAUAUUCUUGUCAACACUUGGUAUUGUCAGUCUUUUUGUGUUUUAUGCUUGUUUUUUUUUUUUUAGGGGAAUGACCACCUGGUGGAGGUGGAGUCCCACUUGGGUUGAAGUAUACUCACUCUGGCAGGAAUGAAAUCAGUGGUAAUAGAGCUAGAAUGAAAAAGGCCAAUAAGAAGAGACGCCAUAGAAGUGGAAUACACAGGACUUGCACACAAGGUAGAAAUGAACUUAAGAGGGAGAUGGAGGAAGGUUUCUGUAUGGGGUGGCUGGCUGGAUGAGGGACUUCAGAUUUGAAGCCAGGAGAAAACAUCCCAAUUUUAUAACAUCAUGUUUGAAAUGUAGGACAAUGAGAUGAAGAUGUCCAAUAAACUGUUAGCUAUAUGAGUCUGUUGCUUAGGGAUGAGGUCAAGGCUGUAGACAGAGUUAGGAGUUAUCACAGAGAUGGGGGUUGAGGCUGGGGGGUGGCUGAGAUUUCUCAGGUGGUUGUGUGCAAUGAAAGAGACAAGGGCUGAAGACCAGACGCCUGGCUUAGGGGAUGAGCGGAGGAAGAACAAGAGACAACAUCGCUUCCCUCUGAAAUGCUGGCACGGGCUGCGAAGCAUGAGUCAGACCCUUCUAGCCCCAGCAGCAGCCUCAACAGCCUGGGUCUAUCUCACCAGCCACACAGUUUUCUCCUGAAUGAACUUGCAUCACUAACCUCAGAAGCUGUGUUGCGAAAUCCGCAUCAGAUUGCGUACCUCUGGUGGCGUCCUAGGGACAAUGGGCACUAAAGACUCAUAGCAUCCUGGGGUUGGAGUCCUCCUCUCCGCCUCCACAACAUCCCUGCCAAUCAGUUAUCGAGCACCCCAGGCAGGGAACUCAUAACUUCCCACGGCAUCCCAUUUCCUUGUUGAGCAAGUGAAGAUCUAAGAAAACCUUUUCUUGCAAUCUCACGAUACUGAAAAGUCAAAGAAAAAGAUAACGCUAUAAUUUAAUGGUAAUGAUCCAGGACAGAGUGAAAUGCAAGGACUCUGCAUCCUGGAAAAUCCAUGUCUAUUAAUGUACCCAUCAGCAUCUUCUUGCUGGGGUUAGGGUCAUGGUGUUUGACUCCCCACAGGAAGCUGCAGUGAUUUCAUUACUAUUUGCACACUGGUUGGGAAUGUGCUCAUCCGCUGCAGGCAUUCCUCUGGCUUCAUCAAGCAGUGAGUACAAGGGCCCUGGAAUCUGGCCAGUCUCUCAGGACUGAAGCAGUGCAUGCUACAGCACAAAUCUACCAGGCUGGACACGUGGGAAGAAUGAGCGGCUGUUAGAUGAGAGCGAGCCCACUGCAAGCAAAGAGGGCAGAAUGCCAUUCUGUUCAACAUUUUUUUCUGCGUGUUUAGCAGCAUGUGGUCCUGUGUGGGUCUCUGGAGAAGAAGAAAGAAGAUGGAUCUAAGAAAUGGUUCUCACCCAGCUGGGCACAGUGGCUCACGCCUGUAAUCCCAGCACUUUGGGAGGGAGAGGCAAGUGGCUCACCUGAGGUCAGGAGUUCGAGACUAGCCUGACCAAUAUGGUAAAACCCUGGCUCGAAUAAAAAUACAAAAGAAUGGCCAGGCUCUGUGGCUCAUGCCUGUAAUCCCAGCACUUUGGGAGGCCGAGGCAGGCGGAUCACAAGGUCAGAAGUUCGAGACCAGCCUGGCUAGCAUAGUGAAGCCUCAUCUCUACUAAAAAAUACAAAAAUUAGCCAGGUGUCGGGGCAGGCGCCUAUAGUCCCACCUACUCAAGAGGCUGAAGCAGGAGAAUCGCUUGAACCAGGAAGGUGGUUGCACUGAGCCGAGAUUGCACCACUGCACUCCAGCCUGGGCAACAGAGCGGGACUCCAUCUCAAAAAAAAAAAAAAGAAAAGAAAAGAAAAGAAAGAAAGAAAAAGAAAAGAAAAAAAGAAAGGGUUCCCACCCUUGGGGAGAUUGGUGGCAGAGGCAGAGACAGGCAUGCAAAAGGAAGAUGUAGCUGAAACUUUUUUUUUUCUUUUGAGAUGGAGUCUUGCCCUGUCACCCAGGCUGGAAUGCAAUGGCACAAUCUCAGCUCACUGCAAACUCUGCCUCCCAGGUUCAAGCGAUUCGCCUGCCUCAGCCUCCUGAGUAGCUGAGAUUACAGGUGCGUGCCACGAUUCCUGGCUAAUUUUUGUAUUUUUUAGUAGAGAUGGGGUUUCACCAUGUUGGCCAGGCUGGUCUUGAACUCCCGACCUCAGGUGAUCCACCCGCCUCGGCCUCCCAAAGUGCUGGGAUUACAGGCAUGAGCCACUGCACCUGGCCCUUUUGCUUUAUUUUUAUAAAUUAAGUUGGCAGUGUUUUUUUUUUCACAAGGUAAUAUUUAUAAAGUGUUUUUACAAUAAAAUAGUAUUGGCUGGGCACAGUGGCUCACGCCUGUAAUCCCAGCACUUUGGGAGGCCAAGGCAGGUGGAUCAUAUGAGGCCAGGAGUUCGAGACCAGCCUGGCCAACGUGGUGAAACCCUGUCUCUACUAAAAAUACAAAAAUUAGCCGGGCAUGGUGGUGCAUGCCCGUAAUCCCAGCUACUUGGUAGGCUGAGGCACAAGAAUCACUUGAACUCAGGGGGCAGAGGUUGCAGUGAGUCAAGAUUGCACCACUGCACUCCAGCCUGAGUGACAAAGUGAGACCCUGUCUCAGGAAAAACAAAGAAACAAAGAGAUAAAAAUAAAAUAGUAUUAAAAGGAUUUUUUUAACAAAAGCCUGUGGUCCCUUGGCCUAGCCUACUCUACCUCUGAGUCCUAUUUUCAGGAGGUAGCAACUUCCAACUCUUUAAGCUUCCUCUUAUGUUGGUUACCUGCAAAUUUCUAAGUCAUAAGCUAUGUCAGAGACUAACAGCCCUCCACAAUCCAUGUUCUCUUUUUCCUGGGUGUACAGCUAGAUCUCAUUCUUCAGCUCCUGCUCCUGUCUCCUCUUCCUCCUUCCAGGCCCCCAGCCCCAAAGUUAGAGGCAAUUGAGCUCUAGCCAAUGAAAUGUGAGCAGAAGUGCUAGUGCCACUUCUAAGCCUGGUCCCUAAAACCACCAUGUUCACCCAUGUGCUCCUCUAUGAUCUUUCUUCUUAUUUUUUAUUUAUUUUUUUUUUUGAGGGAGUCUCAUUCUGUCGCUCAGGCUAGAGUGCAGUGGCGCAAUCUCAGUUCACUGCAACCUCCAUCUCACAG
RNAcentral lists this long non-coding RNA (4466 nucleotides) under Homo sapiens (human). Its description in RNAcentral is "HSALNT0152826". The record is from RNAcentral. Lineage: Eukaryota; Metazoa; Chordata; Mammalia; Primates; Hominidae.